RNAcentral lists this long non-coding RNA (333 nucleotides) under Nicotiana benthamiana. Its description in RNAcentral is "long non-coding RNA (NBEN_LNC003866)". The record is from RNAcentral. Lineage: Eukaryota; Viridiplantae; Streptophyta; Magnoliopsida; Solanales; Solanaceae.
UCCAAAUAAAUGCACAGACGUGGUAGUGUCCGUUUGGGUUCCAGGAAAACCCAGUGGACUUUGGACAAGGCUAUCUUAAAGAGUCAUUAUGCGAACAACGUAAUCGACUCGGCUAGGUUUGAUCAUGAUGCAUGCACAAUUGAAUGUAGUAAGGUUUUUAUCGGGUGCUAGACCGGUACCCGUAUGCGGAAAACUCAGGAGGAAAAGGUACGGAACCGUCGACUACACUAUUGAUCGACUGGUUUUACCGGAAAUACGCCUUUGCCAAAUUUAGGGGGUGAUAAUAUUGGAAUGGCGCAACCACUCAUUAUAAGCAUUGCUAUUGUAUUUUGU